GGCUUUCCCACCAUAGCUAUGAGGGGAAGGGGAACAGUUGACAUGCUUUUGGGGCCUCCCCUCGGCCCUGCCUACCCACCCAAGCUCAGAUUUGGGCCCCCUCUCUGCUCUCGCUUCGUCUCCCGGGUUUGGCAGCCAAAGAAAGGAUCGCAGCGAGUCUAUUGACUCUCUUUUGCCCCCUCGCGGAUCUUGUGAGAACUCUGGUGAUUCCCAAAUAGUUUUCUCCCUCCGGCCUGCUUGUUUCCCAAAAGUGGAACAUUGGGACUGAGGAAAGCUGGGGCAGGGGGGUCAAAUAACUUGUAGCUGGCAAAACUGAGAGUGGUUUUCCAAGCGAAGAGUUUGAUUCCUCUUCUGUCGAGUGGAGAGAAUCAGCCCAUCUCCUGCAACACAGAAGUAACUGGUGAAUUUAAAGCCCCCCAGUACAUGGUUGUAGGUCCUUCUGUUGUGCUUAUGUGGAAUGCUGCGUCAGGAUGGCUUGAUGAGCGGUGCCAUGUCUGCGUCCAGGAUCCGUACCAGUGAAACCCUGUGCCACCAAAGUGGACUGCGUGAACUUAACCACCUGGCCACGGGGCCAGCCCCCCUUAAACUAUCUUAUUUAUAUGUUAACUUUUUUCCCCCCUCGCCCUUUAAAAAUGUAUCUUUCCACCCCUAAGGGCAUUAUACACUGUUGUAACCCCUAAUGCCUAAAACAGUACUACUAUUCUUCUAACUAGUAUGUAUUAGUUACGAAUAUGUUUGGCUGCAUAUAACAACAACAACAACAAAAUGACAAGUAGUGGACUUAACGAAUAAAGAUUUAUUUUACGUACCUAAGG
RNAcentral lists this long non-coding RNA (815 nucleotides) under Equus asinus (donkey). Its description in RNAcentral is "lncRNA (ENSEASG00005024040.1)". Lineage: Eukaryota; Metazoa; Chordata; Mammalia; Perissodactyla; Equidae. The record is from RNAcentral.